Molecule: long non-coding RNA, 2314 nt
Organism: Piliocolobus tephrosceles (Ugandan red Colobus)
Lineage: Eukaryota; Metazoa; Chordata; Mammalia; Primates; Cercopithecidae
Source: Ensembl
UUUUUAAACAUCUCAAAAAAUGUCCCUUGUAUUUAAAAAAUUUAUUUUUACAUUACAAUCCUUUUUACUUCCCACACAUAAAUGAUAGUUAUUUUUAUUUAAUUAAUAAAAAAAAUGAUGAAGUAGAGAAUAUAGAGCAGGUUUUGUCUGAUUAUCACAAUUUUUUUAAUUUUGUUAUUAUAGAUAUAUUAAAAACAAAUAAUAUAAAUAUAACAACAUAUGAACAAUUUUUAAAUUUAAAAUAUAAAAUCUUAUUCAAAUAUUAUAUAAAAUGUGAACAAGAUGCAUUGCUAUUACUUUUAAAAAGUGAAAAUUUUAUAAUUAAAUUAAAAAAAAAAAUAAAUAUUGGCGAACAUGCAACUCACGAGGACAUAUUUGACCCUGAACAUAAGUAUGAGAUUGCCAUAGGAGGACAAAAUAAACAUCAAACUAAAGCACAUUUUGAUAAAGUCAAUGACUAUUUGAAUUGUUAUAUUUCCAAAUUGAAAAUGUCAAUAAUAAAAACUAGAGGUGACAGCAUAAAAUAUAAUCACGACCGUUCGCAUAGUGAGUAUUGUCCUAAUUAUAACAAUGGGAGUGAUAGUAGCAGUAGCAAUAACAAUAACAAUGGCAAACAAAAAGAAAUACCAACUUUAUCAAAAAAAGUGAAAUUUCUUUUACCAAUAUUAAUGCUUAAAAAUAUAGCAAAUAUUAAUAAUUAUAAAAUAUGCAAAGAAAUUGUAGAUUUUAUAGAUAAGUAUGUAUUUUGUGAAAGUAAAAAAGCAUACUAUUCAAAUGUAUAUGAAGGGAACUACACAAAUAAUGAUCACAACGAUGAAGACUAUGUAACGAAUAACAGUGACAACCAUGUAAACAAAUCGAAUUCGCCAAAAGUACCUAUCGAAAAAGAUUCUUUAGAUAAAGAUGAGAUUAUUAGCAUAGUGAUAUACCUUAGUGUAUAUCUUUGUUGUAAAAUAAGUAUGAUAAAAAGAAUACAAAAUAAAAAUUUUGAUAGAAAACAAAAAAAUAAUGAAGAAGAAAAAAUACCAGCAUCUAUACAUUUUUUUUUGCAUAAUUUAAAUAAACAUGAUAUACAAAAUAUAAAUAAACUAUUUUUUUUAAUAUAUUUUAAUACUAAUUUUUAUGAAAUUUAUUACUCUUUUUUUAAUGAUACUAAAGCAUGUAUCCAUUACAACCAGAAUAAUCUUUUUAUUGAAUUGGGAGCUGGUAAAGGGAAUACAACACGAUGGGUCAAUUUUACUAUGAACGAAUUACCAGCAAUAUUGUUUCAGUUCUUUUUAUUUCAAAAAAAUAAUUUUUAUAGGAUAAAAUCUGGUAGACAAUGCAAUCAUGAAAAUCAUAACGGUUGGUAUAAUUCAACGUUAAAUAACAACAUACUACAAAAAAAAAAAGGGUAUAGACAAAAUGAUACACCUAAUGGAACACACAAUAACACACUCAAUAAUAUACCCAUAUCAUUAACAGAAUGCAAAUCAGAAAAUAAAAAAGUAUCUUCGAUAAUACAAGCGGAUGACCAUAACAGAUGCAAAAUUCUAAUUAUUGAAAAGGAAUCACCCAGAAAUAAAAAAGAACAGAAAGAUUUAUUUAUGCAUAUACAAAAAGAAAAUUAUAAAAAUAUGUUCAGGAUGAAAUCAGAUAUAAUUGAUUUUAAUUUAAAUGAGUUUUUAAUGUUUGUUAAAAAUAUAAACAAAAAUGAAAAGUUACAGACUACUAAAAAAAAAAAUCUAUAUUUCUUUUUUAUACCAGAUAUAAUAAUUUUCUAUUAUUACAUAGGCGUGUUUAGACUUAAGAACAGCAUGUCCACGUUAGACUACAUUAAGAAAGUGUUGCAGGUAGGGGGGUCAGUCGUGCAAGAACAACAGCCUGUGGAAAAACAACAUUUUGUGGAAAAACAACAACACUUGCAAGUCCAAGCACAGACACAACGAGAAUCAACUAAAAGUAACAACGAAAGUAUUAGCCCACUAUCAGAAACUUAUUUGAAUAAAAACUUGAUUUUUCUUGAGUACUAUUUUGACAUACAUGUUAAAAAAAUAUACUCAUCUUUAUCAGAGGGAAACCAUAACGUAAUAAGAGUUUACAACAAUAUGAAAAACUUCGUACACCAGUUUGAUUGUCAAAGAGUAAUAUUUAUAACUAAACAUCUGUGUGGCAAUGGAACAGAUUUGGCUUUAAGGUUAAAAAUAAACACACUUUUAUAAAUUUAGCUAACAUGCAAAAAAAAAAAAAAAAAAAAAAAAAAAAUAGCAAUUUACUACCACACUAUGUUUAUUAUUAUUAUUUGCCACAUUCAUUUGUUACGUAUAUUGGUACU